This 420-nucleotide long non-coding RNA is filed under the name Bos taurus (domestic cattle). RNAcentral's name for it is "long non-coding RNA NONBTAT007507". Lineage: Eukaryota; Metazoa; Chordata; Mammalia; Artiodactyla; Bovidae. The record is from RNAcentral.
CAGAUUAGUUAAGUUAUAUACACAAUAUAAUUUUAUAAAGUCCCAACAAAAACUGGUUACAUUUAAGUCAUUGGAUCUGAAGAAGCCAAUUUAUAAGUCUUUUAGGCCCCUAACUUCACCUUCCCUCAAUUAAAACUUCCAAGGAUUUUCUUUUUAAGACUGAAGUUUUAACUUUGUUCUAACAAUUAGGAUCUGGACAAAACUGGUAAGAAUUGUUUUUCCCUUGUCCAACUUUAAAAUGGUCCCUUUUGUCCUUCUCAGCGCUGUCUGAUCACUUCUUUUAAAGGAGGGUAGUAAAUGGAAGAAUUCUUCACCUUUUGUCCUUCUCAUUACUGUCUGAUCACUUCUUUUAAAGGAGGGUAGUAAAUGGAAGAAUUCUUCACCAAGCUUUUACAUAUUUAGCAGUGAGGUUGGAAUCUC